This 433-nucleotide ribosomal RNA is filed under the name uncultured bacterium. RNAcentral describes it as "partial 16S ribosomal RNA". It matches the Rfam family "Bacterial small subunit ribosomal RNA", at positions 29 to 507 of the family's 1533-position model. The record is from RNAcentral.
AACGAACGCUGGCGGCAUGCCUAACACAUGCGAGUCGAACGAGACCUUCGGGUCUAGUGGCGCACGGGUGCGUAACGCGUGGGAACCUGCCCUUAGGUUCGGAAUAACUCCCCGAAAGGGGUGCUAAUACCGGAUAAUGUCUUCGGACCAAAGAUUUAUCGCCUUUGGAUGGGCCCGCGUUGGAUUAGCUAGUUGGUAGGGUAAAAGCCUACCAAGGCGACGAUCCAUAGCUGGUCUGAGAGGAUGAUCAGCCACACUGGGACUGAGACACGGCCCAGACUCCUACGGGAGGCAGCAGUGGGGAAUAUUGGACAAUGGGCGAAAGCCUGAUCCAGCAAUGCCGCGUGAGUGAUGAAGGCCUUAGGGUUGUAAAGCUCUUUUACACGGGAUGAUAAUGACAGUACCGGGAGAAUAAGCUCCGGCUAACUCCGUG